RNAcentral lists this ribosomal RNA (508 nucleotides) under uncultured bacterium. Its description in RNAcentral is "partial 16S ribosomal RNA". It matches the Rfam family "Bacterial small subunit ribosomal RNA", at positions 28 to 507 of the family's 1533-position model. The record is from RNAcentral.
GACGAACGCUGGCGGCGUGCCUAAUACAUGCGAGUCGAGCGCAGGAAGUCAUCCGACCCCUUCGGGGGGACGUUGACGGACUGAGCGGCGGACGGGUGAGUAACACGUAAAGAACCUGCCCUCAGGUCUGGGAUAACCACGAGAAAUCGGGGCUAAUACCGGAUGGGUCAUCGGACCGCAUGGUCCGAGGAUGAAAGGCGCUCCGGCGUCGCCUGGGGAUGGCUUUGCGGUGCAUUAGCUAGUUGGUGGGGUAAUGGCCCACCAAGGCGACGAUGCAUAGCCGACCUGAGAGGGUGAUCGGCCACACUGGGACUGAGACACGGCCCAGACUCCUACGGGAGGCAGCAGUAGGGAAUCUUCCACAAUGGACGAAAGUCUGAUGGAGCAACGCCGCGUGAACGAUGAAGGCCCUCGGGUCGUAAAGUUCUGUUGUAAGGGAAGAACAAGUGCCGCAGGCAAUGGCGGCACCUUGACGGUACCUUGCGAGAAAGCCACGGCUAACUACGUG